CCUACGGGUGGCAGCAGUGAGGAAUAUUGGUCAAUGGACGAGAGUCUGAACCAGCCAAGUAGCGUGAAGGAUGACUGCCCUAUGGGUUGUAAACUUCUUUUAUAUGGGAAUAAAAUGUUCCACGUGUGGGAUUUUGUAUGUACCAUAUGAAUAAGGAUCGGCUAACUCCGUGCCAACAGACGCGGUAAUACGGAGGAUCCGAGCGUUAUCCGGGUUUAUUGGGUUUAAAGGGAGCGUAGGUGGAUUGUUAAGUCAGUUGUGAAAGUUUGCGGCUCAACCGUAAAAUUGCAGUUGAAACUGGCAGUCUUGAGUACAGUAGAGGUGGGCGGAAUUCGUGGUGUAGCGGUGAAAUGCUUAGAUAGCACGAAGAACUCCGAUUGCGAAGGCAGUUCACUGGACUGCAACUGACACUGAGGCUCGAAAGUGUGGGUAUCAAACAGGAUUAGAUACCCCAGUAGUC
Molecule: ribosomal RNA, 460 nt
Filed under: uncultured bacterium
Lineage: Bacteria
Description: partial 16S ribosomal RNA
Rfam family: Bacterial small subunit ribosomal RNA
Source: RNAcentral